UACAGAGGGUGCAAGCGUUAAUCGGAAUUAUUGGGCGUAAAGGGUGCGUAGGUGGUUGAAUAAGUUAGAUGUGAAAUUCCCGGGCUUAACCUGGGGACUGCGUCUAAUACUGUUCGGCUAGAGUACUGUAGAGGAAGGUGGAAUUUCCGGUGUAGCGGUGAAAUGCGUAGAUAUCGGAAGGAACAUCAGUGGCGAAGGCGACUUUCUGGACAGCUACUGACACUGAGGCACGAAAGCGUGGGGAGCAAACAGG
Molecule: ribosomal RNA, 253 nt
Filed under: uncultured bacterium
Lineage: Bacteria
Description: partial 16S ribosomal RNA
Rfam family: Bacterial small subunit ribosomal RNA
Source: RNAcentral